RNAcentral lists this long non-coding RNA (500 nucleotides) under Manihot esculenta (cassava). Its description in RNAcentral is "long non-coding RNA (MESC_LNC005022)". Lineage: Eukaryota; Viridiplantae; Streptophyta; Magnoliopsida; Malpighiales; Euphorbiaceae. The record is from RNAcentral.
AUUCUCUUCCUGAAUGUACACUAAUAGCUGUUAAACUUGCUGCUGUUAAUUAUUUCCAUGUUACGCCUCAUUCUUAAGCUCAUUUGAAAUCGAGAAUUUUUCAUAAAUUCAAUUAAAUGAAAAAAAAAUUUAUUAUUUUCUUUUGAAAUUAAGGAAUUUUACUCUUUUUAAUUAUUUUCUUUUAAUUUAAUAUAUAUAUAUUAAAUUAAACUUGAUUUAUAAUUUUAGAUAAAAAUCAUAUAUUCUAAGAUAAUUUGAGAUUUUAAGAGAUUGAGUGUAUAUGUCUGGGUGCAGGCAAGACCUAUCAUUUGAAAUUUAAGGGGAAGAAUCUGUGGCAAACGUAAUAGGAUGGACUGAAUGAAAACCUAAUUUCGUGCGGACUGGUUCAUUCCUUCUUUUUACUCCAAGGGAGUCAAGAUUGAAAAUUCUAACCCAUGGUCACUAAAAUUUUGGGGUGUUAAUUUUCUUUCUUCCUUUUUUUUUAAUAAUCGUCAAUUUUC